Molecule: long non-coding RNA, 1421 nt
Organism: Physeter macrocephalus (sperm whale)
Lineage: Eukaryota; Metazoa; Chordata; Mammalia; Artiodactyla; Physeteridae
Exons: 3
Source: RefSeq, a predicted model, not a curated record
AGAGCCAAGACCGGUUGGAACCAGAAGGUUGAUGAUGUUGACUCCCUAUUACCUCACCACCGACCAAUCAAAAGAAUGUCCAUUAGCUGAUCACGCACCCUGCAACCCUCUCCCUCUCCCUGUCUUUAAAAACCUUUCCCUGAAAGCCUUCGGGGGGGCGGGGGGUCGGGCUUUUUGAGCACUUGCUACUUGCACUGCUUGCUUGGUGCCCUGCGAUAAACACUGCCCUUUCCUUCACCACAACCUGGUGUCAGUAGAUUGACUUUACUGCAUGCGCGGCGAGCUGACUCAGGUUUUGGUUCAGUUACACCUUCUCCCUCAUAUUGAUCACCAUUUCACACUUUCACCUUAAGUCAGACCAAAGUCCUUGAGUACAUAACAAUGCUGCUGUUCCUGAUAAUAAUAACUGAAUAUGCAAUACUGCCAAGCAGAAUGACAGUAGCUGUGCUUUUUUGAGCACUAACUUCACCCCAGACCCUCUCCUAAGACCCUUCAUGAGUUGUCAUCCUUGUUUCAUCUUCCUAAUCACUUUGUGAGGUAAGUACUAUUGUUAUGCCCGUGUUAGAGCUGAGAAAUGGAGGCUUGAAGAAAUCAGUGACCCUGACUGCGGCCACAUGGCUGGUGGGUGGAGCCUGGGUCUGAGCCCGGGCAGUGUGACUCCUGCAGAUGUGCUUGCUCACGGAUGUCAGUAUUUCCUGUGCUUGGAAGGACGCUGACCGCCAGAGUCUGUAGGAAGAGUGCUUCGGGUUGGAAAAUACGACUGGUCUAAACUGAAUGUGUAUGUUUUUGGAGAGACCUUCUGUCUAAUCUGAUUCCCCAUCGCUUCUUCCUUGAACUCCUCUGAGCCUUUAAUUUAAGGCUUCAGUUGCUGCUGGGGCACUAAAUCAAGUGCAUCAUUCUACCGGCAAGGUACGGUGAGGGGGGAAAAUAUUCUCCUCUGGAGAGUAAAAACCCAUCUCCCUACGAUUCCCACUUACCCGUUCCUCUUACUUAAACCACCACCAACAAGAAGAAAGAUCUUUGAAAAGAGAGAAAGGCUGCUCCUCUGGGGGAGCAAGUUUGACCUACCUCAUCAGUCCAAGAUUUUUGAUUUUUGUAAGCUGUGCCUUAUCGAUAUGGUACGCGGGCCUCUCACCAUUGUGGCCUCUCCUGCUGCAGAGCACAGGCUCCGGACGCGCAGGCUCAGCGGCCACGGCUCACAGGCCCAUCACACUCUGGGCUACUUCCUUUAAAUCACGGGCCCAGCCACUCCGCGGCACGUGGGAUCUUCCCAGACCGGGGCACGAACCCGUGUCCCCUGCAUCGGCAGGCGGACUCUCAACCACUGCGCCACCAGGGAAGCCCCUAUCAAUUGAAUUGUAAAUUUUAAUUUCUAUUGCUAUAUUUUUCAGUCCUAGAAUUUCUCUUUAGUUCUUUUUCAA